Cavia porcellus (domestic guinea pig) is the source of this 2488-nucleotide long non-coding RNA. NCBI's taxonomy places the organism in Eukaryota, Metazoa, Chordata, Mammalia, Rodentia, Caviidae. The record is from Ensembl.
AAUGUCGGUCUCUUCCACCUCCCAAUUCCCCAAACCCAGACGACUCCUCCCCGCCCCGCCCCGCCCUCCUCCUUCCCCUCCUACUGCCCCCCCAGGUGCCCCGGGCCCGCCCCAUCCCGGGCGGGGCGCAUAGGUGCGGAGAAGUGGCGGGGUCACCGCCCAGCGUCCCCUCCACCCUUCUCCGCGGAAGCCCAGCGGAUCCAGGGUCAGGAUGCGGGUCGCCAGCGUCCCGGGCCUCGGGCCCACCCUGCUCUCGCCCUGCUGCCCACGCUGCUGUCCGGCCUCCUCUGCACGCGCGCUUUGGAGAUACCAGAGGGAAAAGUCAGCGGCCACCAAUGCCAUGAAUGUUGUGCAGUUCUGACCAGGUGCCCUGAAGAACUGGUGCGGAAGACAGAGGGGAAGCUGAGGCUGAGGCUAAGGCUGAGGCCGGAGGAUGGAAAGCUCAGGACCAGAUCCUACCCCGGAGGAUUCCGAUGCUGUGAGAACAGGUGUUGCCAGGGAGAUGAAGCCUCCGGCCUCUUCAGGGUUUUCCUCCUCAUCUGCAUCUUCAUCCUGUCUGUGUUGGGCUGCUUCAGCCUGGGCAGGCACUGCUGUGUGAACCGCUGUCAAACAAUGGUGGGCCCCACAGGGGGUCACCAGCAGCCCCAAAGCCCAGCCACCUUCGGGGCACCCCCAUCCUACAGCGAGGUGGUUGGGAAGCCCACCUUGUCCCUCUCUCCCACGGAGCCCCCGCCUCCCUACAGCCUCAGGCCUGAAGGCCACACUGGCACGGAGAGGGACGUCAACAACCCGGCCUCUGACCUGGAGCCUCCCUGGAGACCCCCAGAGCAAGCUGGCGAUGGCUGGGAUUCCUGCACUGUCCCCUGACACCCGGCCACGGCACUCGCUUCUUGGAUUUAACUUACUGCUUUUCUUACUCCUGUUCCUCCCGGCCUCUACUUAUCCUGGGGCCAGGACAGGCUUAAAGGGACUGUACCUGUCCCUCCUCCAAGUUAAAGGCUGCUGGAGGGACCGGCAGUAUGUGAGCUGCUCGGUAGGGUAGACAGCGGCCUGUCACUGGAGGUAUACAAGUCAGGACUGGACAUCUAGCUUGGGAUAUUACGAAGGCUUUCUCUACCCUGCUGUGGUUUUUUUUCCUUUUUGAGGGGGGGAUUCUUUUUGUCUUUUUGAGACAGGGUCUCACUAUGCAGUUCAGCCUGGCCUUGAGCUCACUUUGUAGCCCAUGUUGGUCUCGAACUCACAACAAUCCUCCUGCCUCAGCCUCAUUGUGAUCCUUAUUUACACUUUUGGUUUCUUGUACCAGAGAAAUGAUAUAUUUAUUUAUUUCACUUAAGAGUGUGAUUUCGAGGUACAGCCAUUUUCCUAGAAAUGUCUCAAGCGUAUCCUUCUUUAUGGCAGAGUAGUACUCUAUUGUAAAAAAAAAAAUCUUUUUUUUUUUUUUUUAACCGGUACCGGGGAUUAAACUCACAACCACCUGCUCACAAGACGGGUGCUUAUGCUGCUGAGCUAAAUCCUCAGCCCCAAAACACAUCUUCUUUAUCCAUUCAUUGGUUGAUGGACAUUUGGGCUGUUCGCAACAUUUAGGUAUCACAAAUUGUACUGCUAUAAACAAGGGUGUGCAUGAAUCACUGUGGCACAAUGCUUGUAAUUCUUCCAAGAAGAUACCAAGAAGGGAAAUAGCUGGGUCACAUGGAACCUCUGGUUGUAGUUUUUUGAGGACUCACCCCACCGAUUUCUACCAUAGUUGCACCAGUCUACACUCUCACCAACAGUGGAGAAGGGCUCCUUUCUCCCCGCAGCCCUGCCAGCGUUUGUUAUUGGUUGAUUUCUCAGUAAGGACUAUUUUUUCUGGAGUGAAAUGGAAUCUCAGCCUUGUUUUAAUUUGUACCUCUUGAAUGAGCACUGAGAUUGAAUGUUUUUUCAUACGUUUAUUUGCCUUUUUUUUUUUUUUUUUUGUCUUUUUUGUUUUUUUUUUUAUCGGUACCAGGGAUCGAACUCACAACUGCCUGCUUGCAAGGCAGGCAUUUAUGCCGCUGAGCUAAAUCCCCAGCCCCCUUAUUUGCCUUUUCUACUUCUUCAUCUGAGAAGUGUCUCGUCAUUUCAGAGGCCCAGUUUUGGAUUGGGUCUUUACGUUUGGUGGAGGGGUUAAAUUCUUUAUGUAUGCUUUGUUGCUAGGUGUGAUAGCACAUGUGUGUGAUAGCACUCUGGAGGCUGAGACAGGAGGAUUCCUAUGAGUUCAAGGCCAGUCUGAAUUACGGAGCAUGAACCUGUCUCAAAAAGAAAGAAACAAGGAAGGAAGGACGGACAAAUAGAGUAGCCACUCCUUUUUUCCAGUUUCUAUCCUUUGACUGUCAGUAUAUGAAUUUCUUUUGUAAUUAAAUGUGUUUUUUUCUAUGCAGCAUAUUAUUAGAUUGUGCAUUUUUGUUUCUUUGUUUUGUUUUUGCUUCUUGAUUCACUCGUCCAGUCUGUUAAAGCAAUACUUUAUAAU